RNAcentral lists this transfer RNA (49 nucleotides) under Cheirodendron trigynum. Its description in RNAcentral is "partial tRNA-Leu". The record is from RNAcentral. Lineage: Eukaryota; Viridiplantae; Streptophyta; Magnoliopsida; Apiales; Araliaceae. RNAcentral also lists the same sequence under 27 other names.
GAGGAAAAUCCGUCGACUUUAAAAUCGUGAGGGUUCAAGUCCCUCUAUC